GCUCCGGUGGCCUAGUGGUUAGAGCGUCCGCUUCGAAUGUGGGAGGUCGCGGUUUCAAGACCCGGCCGGAUCA
Molecule: non-coding RNA, 73 nt
Organism: Potamilus streckersoni
Lineage: Eukaryota; Metazoa; Mollusca; Bivalvia; Unionida; Unionidae
Source: the annotation of a GenBank genome assembly